Molecule: long non-coding RNA, 762 nt
Organism: Tupaia belangeri chinensis (Chinese tree shrew)
Lineage: Eukaryota; Metazoa; Chordata; Mammalia; Scandentia; Tupaiidae
Exons: 5
Source: RefSeq, a predicted model, not a curated record
GCCUGCCCUCCCCUGGUCUGAGCCGGCGGAAGCCUCACCUCUUUUGUAAUUUCCUAAGAUUUGAAAUUAAGUCUUUAAACGUUCGUUUCCUAAUAAGGGUGAAAAGGCAGGCACUCCUCAGCCUAGUUCCUCCCCUUCCAAGCUGAGAGUUCUGCGACUGCGAAGUGAGUCGUUCGGGCUUAUUUGGAAGCUUUGGGUUGCCUGUUGACGCGUUCUGAGUGUGAGUGAAAUGCAAGAAAAUCGGGUGAUAGCGUAAAAUGACAGCUUUGUAUACGGAGACUGGGACACAGCAAUUUCCAGUGUUCAUAUAAGUGAAAACAAAGGUUUCCUAAAGACCUACAGUGUCGCUUACAAAAUAAAAUACAAAAGGAAAAAUAGACCUGGAGACAACAAAGUUCACGUUGUUCACAUCCCACUCUAAACCUGCCGUGUCCAGAUGAGAAAUUCCCUACUCUCGGAUUUUUAUUCAACGGAGAUUAGAAUCUAUUCCUUUCUCCCCUGGGGUGUUUCACUAGUCCACAGCUGGUCGUUCCUAGGAAUUAAUUGAAGAGGAAGCGGCAGAUAUGAGUAGGCUGCUGGACCUGAUAAAAAGGUUGUGAAAAGUUGAUGGAUCAUACCAAACUCACCACGUUCAUGCAAUAGAUUCUACAUCAUUAGACAUUUUUCUUGUUGGUCUCAUAUAUGAUUCUAUUCUUUCACUUCAGGCAUGUGACCUUUUAAAGCCUUAAGUUGCUAGAGGGCAUGUAUGCUCUUCAGAGAGAG